CUUACAAUUAUUAUAAACACCGAACUCAGAGGAAAAUUCAAAACGGAAAGUCCGUAAUCAAACGACAAAUCAAAAGCUUCAACACACUCUUGAUGACGUGAAGUAUUUGUUGAUACUAGAGGCAUCACACAACAAAAUUUCCAAACUACUAGAAUAGUAGACUUGUCUUACAAUAAGAUUAAGGAAAUGACAGAUUUGACACCACACUACUAUUAAAUGACUGUACAUGCAUUUUCGUAUGUAGAAAAUGGGGAUUAAACCUGGUUUAAAAGACGCAUAAAACUCCAUUAUAUUGACAACGAUGUGUGAACAAAACAAACAGACAGAAUAGGUUAAAAUAUCAAAAAUAGGGGUACAGCAGUCAACAUUGUAUUAUAAUCUUAAUCCCUAUAAGACAAACAUAUAUGUAACAAAAAAGCACAAAAAUCCAUAAAGACAAAUCCCAUUAGCAAAACAAAAUCCAUAGCACAAUAACACAAUAACGGG
This 486-nucleotide long non-coding RNA is filed under the name Mytilus galloprovincialis (Mediterranean mussel). Lineage: Eukaryota; Metazoa; Mollusca; Bivalvia; Mytilida; Mytilidae. The record is from RNAcentral.